Molecule: small nuclear RNA, 91 nt
Filed under: Myotis davidii
Lineage: Eukaryota; Metazoa; Chordata; Mammalia; Chiroptera; Vespertilionidae
Source: RNAcentral
GUGCUCGCUUCAGCAGCACAUAUACUAACAAAGUGGAACGAUACAGAGAAGAAGAGCGUGGCCCCUGUGCAAGGAUGACCCGCAAAUUCGU